UCUCCGUUGGUGAACCAGCGGAGGGAUCAUUACAGGACUCGCAAGACUCCCGUAGCCACCGUGAACCCUACCACUCGUUGCCUCGGCGGGCCGCCCUCGGGCGCCCGCCGGCGGCCCACAACCCAUUGCCUGACGCGCUGCAUCUCCGAGUCGCACACAAACGAAUCAAAACUUUCAACAACGGAUCUCUUGGUUCUGGCAUCGAUGAAGAACGCAGC
This 218-nucleotide unclassified non-coding RNA is filed under the name uncultured fungus. RNAcentral's name for it is "sequence contains ITS1, 5.8S rRNA gene". The stretch from base 170 to 218 matches the Rfam family "5.8S ribosomal RNA", at positions 1 to 49 of the family's 154-position model. The record is from RNAcentral. Lineage: Eukaryota; Fungi.